AACGGUCUAUACCUGCGGUACCUGCGGAAGGAUCAUUACAGAGUUGAAAAACUCCCAAACCCUUGUGAACAUACCUAACGUUGCUUCGGCGGUGCGGCCCUAGGCCGCUGCCUCCCUGUGAGGCGCCCGCCGGAGGUUUACAAACUCUAUGUAUUAUAUUGUCUUCUCUGAGUUGUCUUUUAAAUAAGUCAAAACUUUUAACAACGGAUCUCU
Molecule: unclassified non-coding RNA, 213 nt
Filed under: soil metagenome
Description: partial contains 5.8S ribosomal RNA, internal transcribed spacer 2, and large subunit ribosomal RNA
Source: RNAcentral